RNAcentral lists this ribosomal RNA (995 nucleotides) under uncultured bacterium. Its description in RNAcentral is "bacterial SSU rRNA". It matches the Rfam family "Bacterial small subunit ribosomal RNA", at positions 356 to 1376 of the family's 1533-position model. The record is from RNAcentral.
GGGGAAUAUUGCACAAUGGGGGAAACCCUGAUGCAGCGACGCCGCGUGGAGGAAGAAGGUCUUCGGAUUGUAAACUCCUGUUGUUGGGGAAGAUAAUGACGGUACCCAACAAGGAAGUGACGGCUAACUACGUGCCAGCAGCCGCGGUAAAACGUAGGUCACAAGCGUUGUCCGGAAUUACUGGGUGUAAAGGGAGCGCAGGCGGGAAGACAAGUUGGAAGUGAAAUCUAUGGGCUCAACCCAUAAACUGCUUUCAAAACUGUUUUUCUUGAGUAGUGCAGAGGUAGGCGGAAUUCCCGGUGUAGCGGUGGAAUGCGUAGAUAUCGGGAGGAACACCAGUGGCGAAGGCGGCCUACUGGGCACCAACUGACGCUGAGGCUCGAAAGUGUGGGUAGCAAACAGGAUUAGAUACCCUGGUAGUCCACACCGUAAACGAUGAUUACUAGGUGUUGGAGGAUUGACCCCUUCAGUGCCGCAGUUAACACAAUAAGUAAUCCACCUGGGGAGUACGACCGCAAGGUUGAAACUCAAAGGAAUUGACGGGGGCCCGCACAAGCAGUGGAGUAUGUGGUUUAAUUCGACGCAACGCGAAGAACCUUACCAAGUCUUGACAUCCCUUGACAGGCAUAGAAAUAUGUUUUCUCUUCGGAGCAAGGAGACAGGUGGUGCAUGGUUGUCGUCAGCUCGUGUCGUGAGAUGUUGGGUUAAGUCCCGCAACGAGCGCAACCCUUAUGGUCAGUUACUACGUAAGAGGACUCUGGCCAGACUGCCGUUGACAAAACGGAGGAAGGUGGGGAUGACGUCAAAUCAUCAUGCCCUUUAUGACUUGGGCUACACACGUACUACAAUGGCGUUAAACAAAGAGAAGCAAGACCGCGAGGUGGAGCAAAACUCAGAAACAACGUCCCAGUUCGGACUGCAGGCUGCAACUCGCCUGCACGAAGUCGGAAUUGCUAGUAAUCGUGGAUCAGCAUGCCACGGUGAAUACGUUCCCG